Molecule: long non-coding RNA, 138 nt
Organism: Hibiscus syriacus
Lineage: Eukaryota; Viridiplantae; Streptophyta; Magnoliopsida; Malvales; Malvaceae
Exons: 3
Source: RefSeq, a predicted model, not a curated record
GAUGUAUAAUCUGGAAAUGAUCGAUUCAUUUUAUAAAUUAGAAAUGGACUUUAUCCUUCCAUUGCUUAAUUGAAAGAAGAGUUGUGCAACAUUGCAACUUAAGUUUAUCUUCUUCCCUAUGUUAGUACAUGGAUUGUG